Thunnus maccoyii (southern bluefin tuna) is the source of this 2217-nucleotide long non-coding RNA. RefSeq lists it as uncharacterized. The transcript has 2 exons. The record is from RefSeq and is a predicted model, not a curated record. NCBI's taxonomy places the organism in Eukaryota, Metazoa, Chordata, Actinopteri, Scombriformes, Scombridae.
UAAAACCCUUUUAAUAAUGUUAAUAAACAUAAGAUAAAAUAAAGUGAUAAUAGAAUACAUAGAGUGCGUACUUCAGUGGUGGUAGAUUGAGACUUAAUAAGCGAAAACUAAGUAUUUCACCAUGUGUAACAUAAGAUGGAAGAUAAAAACCACAAUAAAAGAUCACAUCCGAGUUAAAAGAAAAGCAAAAAAUUACAAUUCAGUCACUAAAAUGUCAGUGUGUAAAAAUACGAUUGAAGACAACUUAAAAGAAAGUCCUGAUCUCAGAAAGGUCAUUUCAGAGACUGGGAAAGAUGGAGAAGCACCUUUUUUCUUCAUCUUACACUGAAAAUAGCAAAUGUCACCAGAAUAUGUCAGCACUGGCUCACACAGUUGAUAGUUAAAAUGUCAGUCUGCAGCUUGGGUCUGGCUUUAAAAGUGAUCAAUCUUUUAACUCUAUCCUGAUUAUGGGCAUCAAUUGGUAUCGAGAAGAAAGGAUGUCUGUAUUUGGCCAUCAGACAGUUAAGAGAGAAGUUUUAAAGAUUUAAACUAUAGUAUUUGGAAGUAACCUAACAAUUGUGUAGCCGCACGUCUUCUGCAUCAUGGUGGAGGAGGUCUGGGGAAAAUCUUCUUCAAAAAAUCAUGAUAAUAAGACAUUUGGCAAUCCUGAGGCUGUCAAUCUCUUAACUGUGAAUUCGAAAAUUCCUCUUUAGUUGGGUUUUGCUUGGGUAAAAGUGACUUUCGUGUAAUGUAAUUUUAUGAGUUUGAAAUGUAACAUUGGUCAGUCACUUCACUUCCCUUUUCUAACAGAUUUUUAUUCUUGCAUUUCUCCAAACCUCUGUCAAGUUGUUGAAAAAGGAGGUUUGGCUAUGGGAGAUACUACAUACAGCUUCAAAGUUAGCGUGGUUAAUUUUAAUCCAGUUUUGACUGAAAAUUAAGAUUUUAUAGAUAUUUAAACAAAACAUUUACUAAAUAUGUACUUCAUACAUUAGAUAAAAUGCAAAAUAGAUGUCAACAGAUAAGGUAAAUGGAUCUCAGUCCACAGUAUAAAACUAGAACUGUAUAAUCACUGUUUGUAAGGUCAGUAGCUCACCAGUAGCUAACCAUGAACCUACUUAAAACAGUUACUGCAUCAUAACUGUUUUCGUUGCAUUCACAGUCUUUUUACCAGGAAAUAAUGUGCUGAAUAUCUGAGCUCCAACACUAAGAGCCGCUGCUUUGAGAGCAUUGAAUAGCUGAUGUGGUGAUGACAGAAGCUGUGCGUACAGACAAUAGCUUGAUAAGGACAUCCAGCCUUGUGGGGGGCUACCUGGGUACAGGUGUUUCUCUCCUCCGCCAGAUGAAUUAAAACACAAGGCUGACCAACCCUGGGAGGACGAAGUGUCAGACAGGAGCAGAGCAGGUUUCGCCCUAAUGAUGAUGCUGAUGAGGAAUGCUGGGUGAAGUGCAACAGGCCAGAUGGGGUGUAAGGAGAUGAAAGGAAGGGAGAAGAGUGUUGAAGGCUGCUGGUCUGAACUUUCAUCUCUUCCUCUCAACUGUCUCUCUCUGCUGCUCUUUCAUCUGAGCAUUUUGUCUUGAGCUCCCCCAGAGAAAACGCCUUCCUCUCUUUCCUCUGGUUCCCUCCUCUGAUUCAGUACACUUAUUCACUACGCAACAUAACUCUACUGAAAAACACUUCAUUUCUUUGCAUGUAUCAUUAAUUAACUGUCAUGUAGCAGUGUUUGAACCAACCUCAGCCAUGGGUUUUUCUUAAAUACAUACAUUUUAAUAUCCCUUUAACAGUGUUGCAAAAGUAGUCAUUCUAAGCAUAUAUUUAUUUAAUUAUUUGCAAAAAUUGCUUUUAUGAAUUUGAGCCCCAACCCCUCUGACGUCAUCUACACGUCCCUCGUUUGUAAGUACGACAAGAAGGAGACUUUAGCAGGAAAGCUAAUGUGGGUUGUUGUUCAGAGUCUGACUCUUGUGUUGUGUAGCAGGAUGCAAUCAGGCUCAGUGUGACCAUCUGCGCUGCCCGUGAUAAAACACUGAUGAUAGAUCAAGCUGUAUGGAAACACAUUCUCCAUCUACUUAGAUGGGGAACUAAAGGUAUUCUGAUGAAUAAAUGCAAAGAUAGGGGGUGACAUCAUGAAACCGAAAAUAUAUGAUAUAUAAGAUAUGUGUUUCUCCCUUUUUGGUUUAUAGAGCAGAUAUGUAUGUAUGGUAUAUGCUGUUGUUACAGACAAAUAAAGCUGUUUAUUUUCA